UUUCACAGUUUUUUUUAACAUAGGCUAUUUAAUUUCUGUUAAAAAAAAUAAGAAAGAAAAAUAUUAAGUAAUGUAUAAUUCUAUUUUUUUAUUCCGUAGACUAAAAUGACAUUUCAUGUGGUACUAAGAAAUUUAAUGUCAUGUCUUACAUAUGAAACGUCAUUUUAGUCUACGGAAUAAAAAAACAGACCUUAGGUAAUUUUAAACCAUCAUGUGGGAUUAUUAAAACAGGUUUUAAUAUGUUCUUUCUUUAAAAAUUAAACAAUUAUUUUGACCGCAUUUAAAACACCUGCAUUCACAUGCAGCAAUCCUACCGUUUUCUCGGCUAAAAGGAAAACAUUCAAGCUACCAUUUCAUUCAAAAGUUUUUAUUAGCAGUACCAGCACAUUUUAUUCAAGACGUCGGGCUGAAAUCAAAGGUGCAGAUAAAACUUUGAGUGCACUCGACGCGAUAUUGUAGAACUUACACUGUUGGACGUAACUGAACUGGGGCUCGGAAUCUUAAAUAGGACGACGUAUAUUAUUGUAUUUUUAUACUAAGGAAUGUUGUUGCGUCUUUUAAGUGGCGUAAAUUAGGUGUAGGUAGUUAGUAAAGGUCACACAUAUUUAUUUAUAUCAUACUUUAUGUGUAGAGUAGAACGCAUAGGUAUUUAUUAUUGUUAAUAUGUAAUUAAGUUGUGCUUAUACAAAAGAGAACCAUCAUGACUUACAACUAGGCAACAAAUUUGCUGGAAGAGGAAUCACUGAGAAUGCAAUGUUUUAUAAUAGGUAUUAGUUCAUAAUUAAAAAGAUAUGAUGUAACUUUAUUCUAAUUGUUACUGACUGAGGAUUGUCAUAUAAACAGUAGGGACCUACGUCCUUACGUAAUUUAAAUAACAAUAAACAUUUAAAUAAACCCGCUGAAAAGCAUUCGUUAAGCGCUUCCGCGCUAGAACAGAGGAGAUGCUAACUAUUUAUACAGUGCACCGCUUGCAUUACACAGAUAAAAUACGCUGCCAAGUUCUUGGGGCAAAAGAAGCGAAACGAAAGGCGAGAUUUACUGUGGAAAUUUUGGAAGUAAGCCGGGACUGCGUUUGUGGUGGCUUACAUUAAUCAUGCGAUGGAAAAAUACCCCUGGCGACUUACGAUGGAGUUCCGUUGGACGUCCGUAUUUAGAACAAACAGAGGCUGUUCGGGAAUCCCGUGUAAUCCGACCACUUAUCACGGCUGCAAAAUGCAAAUUUCCCGGCCGGCACGCAGUAUUACGGGCCGGGAUACGUCAGGGAUAUUGUCAAAGUUCGCUAUCGAGGGAUACACAGGUUAAUCUCAGGUCUAAACUUCACAAGAGGUGGGCCUACUCUAUUCGCAAUUAACACGAAUGCAGUUUUUUAUGUAAAUUGGAAGACAUAGCCCACUAGCACUGACAAUGAAAGUUCUAAAAGCAGAGUUCAUCAAACACAAGAUUGGCAACCCUGUCGCUGGAGGGCCAAUGGGAACGUUGUACCGCGGCGCCUGAGCAUGCUCGCCCGCUGCGCUCGCGCGGGAUUAACGAGGAAACAGGCAACACUGACAUUUGAAGCGCUGUGUGAACGUUAGAAACAAAAAUGGUAAAUUAAACUGUAUUUAUUGUGACUGUCUUUGGUUAUGAAAUUCUUUUUGAGCUGACCACCUAAAUAUGCUCAAAAAGUAUAUAAAACCACUUAUCUUUAUUUAGUUAAUAUAGAGCCUUAGCUUAGAUUUAUUUGUUUGUACCUAACAAUGCUCGAUUUUUUUCUGCAGCUGCUAUUUUAAAAUAACUCAAUUGAGCCUUUGCAAUACAUAGCAACUGUAACCAAUACAGCGAUGAGUGAUCCCGGCGACUGACACGGGCUAUUAUUCAAGCCUCUUAUACAACACAUCUCUGUAAAUUACCUAAUAUAAGUGACCUCUGAUUCCUUAAAAACGUUACGGAUCUUGAGCUCAAGGAUGAGCGGAGGAACGAAACGAAUGUAAGUUCUUCGUGAACCAAGGUUGUAGUAAUUCGCCCGCUCCGUAUUCGUUGGAAACGAUAUAAAUCAAAUGCAGUUGGUAGAGAUUUGCAUGUCACAACUGUUAAAUUUAUUGCAGUGGCAAGGUCGCUGCGGUCUUCGCAGAUAGCGAUAGCGGUUACGUUAACAAUAGACUGUUGUACAGUCACCUUUAAUAAUAUCCUAGGUGAAGUCAGCAUUAGAGCUGUGUAUUUCUGACUAUGCGUCAAAAGUAUCCACCAUUAUCUAAACACUUAAUAAAAAGAGAUAUGUCUCUGUGUUGCUAUAGAACAAUUAAACUGGUGCAGAUCAUUUUGAACGGAAACUGUCGAGAUAUAUAUCUAUUUGGAAAAGUAUUCCGGGGUGGGGUGGUAGAUACUUUUGAUGUAUUAUUUCAUACGCUAUUAUUGAUGCAGACUGUACAAGAUAAACCACGAAAUCAGGUCGUAUCAUAUAUGAUGCACGUUACUUAAUUACAAAUACCCAUUUUAUCCGAGAUGAUAAAUCUAUGUACUUACGUUACCUGAUAUCGCCUGUUGAAAAAAAUAGCUACAGACCUAGAGGCUUGUUCUGAUAGUUAUAACAGGUUAUGGAUUUGAUCUGGAUUUCUUGUUUGCAUCUGGUUGAAGAAAUGACAGAUCAUAUAUAUAAGAAAUCCAGAUCACAUUAAUUACCUAUUGUUACAAUCGUAACACGCCUCGUACUAAUUUUAUCUCUUGUAAAUUAAGUAUACAAAAUUAUUUAGUAUCACCAUGCAUAGUAUUAUCUACAUUUAAAAAGCAAAUUCAGCUCUGAUGAGAGGACGACGAUGUUAUAAUUAGUACUAUGAAUGUGUUUUUAAAAUAGUUCCAAGUACAAUUUAUUUAAUAAUCAACACGUGACUCUACUUAUUUUUAAAAGCCCAGUUUAUAAAAGCGUAAAAAAUAACUUCACUACUAUUCAAAAAAGUAGACAUUUUUGUAUACUUACUGAGACUUACGACAUUUUGCAGUGGUUAGUGUAUACUGGUUUUUAAAUGCUGUAACUGAAGGUAACAGUUAGGGUAGCCGGUAAAUCAACAUUAGGUCUACGGGAAAUGCCGACGAUUAUACGAUCGAUGUGUUGGUUUGUCCGUUGCCUGGUUAAAGAUAAAAUGCGACCACUAUUUCGACGCGAUUUGAGCAAUAAAUAUGAAAACAUUCGUAUAGUGUUUGACUACUAGGACAGUUACCUAAUUGUCUCAGAUUUUAAUUAAGAUUAGUAUUGUGCUCUAAUUUGAUACGGCUGGCUACCCAGGUUACUUAAAACAGAAUUCACGGCAAGCAGUUUUACUAAAGAAAAAAAUAAGUACUAAAAUCCUACUUAAAUCUCAACCUUACUCAAUAUUAACAGCUAGCCCUAGACCUAUUACCAGAAAACGAUAGCACUUAAGGAUAAUAAUAUAAUAAUUCAUAUAAGAAUAACCCUUUAUCAAGUCCGUGGCGGCGUUAGCAAAUUGUGCUGCGCCCAGGCUGAAUACUGGCGUGAUACACGCUAUGUAUUAUCAUACUAUCGAACUGUGUCAAAAUAGUUUUUAAGACAUGACGCUUAGUCGUAAAACUGCAUGAAAAAAAUUGCGGGAAGACUUGAAAGCUUUAUGAAUACAUAAAUACAAUUUAAUCAACUGAACUUUUUGCGGGAAGAGAUGAAAUGUCUAUGAAUAGGUACCUAAGAAUUAAUAAAUCCACUGAACUUUGAACCUGGUAAAAUGUUUAAUGCAAAAUAAAUUAUCUUUACAGUACAUAUGGGGCUACUUUAUAGCACUAGUGCGAGAAGUAGCAUAUUAUGUUACUGUGUCGAACAUUUAAAGGGCCAUAUGUACUGUAAAACGUUGUACGAUACAUGUGCGAAUAGGUAAUUCGCAACUCGUGUCGAUUUAAAACACUCCCUUCGGUCGUGUUUUAAUUUAUCGCCACUCGUUUCGAAUUUCCUAUUUUUCGCACUUGUAUCGUAAUGUACUAUUACCUAGAACUAGAAACAUAUAAGAAAUUAACAAGUAUAUAUGUUAGCACCUAAGCUAAAGACU
This is a long non-coding RNA of Cydia pomonella (codling moth), 4028 nucleotides long. RefSeq lists it as uncharacterized. Lineage: Eukaryota; Metazoa; Arthropoda; Insecta; Lepidoptera; Tortricidae. The transcript has 4 exons. The record is from RefSeq and is a predicted model, not a curated record.